This 568-nucleotide ribosomal RNA is filed under the name Cytospora sp. Its description in RNAcentral is "eukaryotic LSU rRNA". The stretch from base 195 to 348 matches the Rfam family "5.8S ribosomal RNA". Lineage: Eukaryota; Fungi; Ascomycota; Sordariomycetes; Diaporthales; Cytosporaceae. The record is from RNAcentral.
UAGGGGGGGAUUGCGUAUGUACGUAGUUCCAUUGCGCACCCAGACACCCUAUGUGAACUUAUACCUUAUUGUUGCCUCGGCGCAUGCUGGUCCUCCGGGGCCCCUCACCCCCGGGUGUUGAGAAGGCACGCCGGCGGCCAACCCAACUCUUGUUUUUACACUGAAACUCUGAGCACAAAACAUAAAUGAAUCAAAACUUUCAACAACGGAUCUCUUGGUUCUGGCAUCGAUGAAGAACGCAGCGAAAUGCGAUAAGUAAUGUGAAUUGCAGAAUUCAGUGAAUCAUCGAAUCUUUGAACGCACAUUGCGCCCUCUGGUAUUCCGGAGGGCAUGCCUGUUCGAGCGUCAUUUCAACCCUCAAGCCUGGCUUGGUGAUGGGGCACUGCCUGUAAAAGGGCAGGCCCUGAAAUUCAGUGGCGAGCUCGCCAGGACCCCGAGCGCAGUAGUUAAACCCUCGCUCUGGAAGGCCCUGGCGGUGCCCUGCCGUUAAACCCCCAACUUCUGAAAAUUUGACCUCGGAUCAGGUAGGAAUACCCGCUGAACUUAAGCAUAUCAAUAAGCGGAGGAA